GGCACGCGGUGGUCACCGCCGCGGUGGUGCUGCUGCUGAGCGGCGUGGGGCCGGCGCACGGCUCGGAGGACAUCGUGGUGGGCUGCGGUGGCUUCGUCAAGUCGGACGUGGAGGUCAACUGCUCGCUCAUCGAGAUAAAGCUGUACACCAAGCAUGGGACUUUGAAAUACCAGACAGACUGUGCCCCUAAUAAUGGUUACUUUAUGAUCCCUUUGUAUGAUAAGGGGGAUUUCAUUCUGAAGAUUGAGCCUUCCCUGGGGUGGAGUUUUG
This 270-nucleotide long non-coding RNA is filed under the name Pan troglodytes (chimpanzee). Its description in RNAcentral is "long non-coding RNA NONPTRT005936". The record is from RNAcentral. Lineage: Eukaryota; Metazoa; Chordata; Mammalia; Primates; Hominidae.